CCGGCAACAGAGCAAGGUGAGCAGCUGUUAGAAACAGUCGAGGAAACAACGGUUGAUUG
RNAcentral lists this non-coding RNA (59 nucleotides) under Heterocapsa arctica. Lineage: Eukaryota; Dinophyceae; Peridiniales; Heterocapsaceae. The record is from RNAcentral.